GCAGUGAUGGCCGAGAGGUUAAGGCGCUAGCCUGCUAAGUUAGUGGGUUUACCCGCGCGAGUUCGAAUCUCGCUCACUGCG
RNAcentral lists this transfer RNA (81 nucleotides) under Hemiselmis andersenii. RNAcentral's name for it is "tRNA-Ser". It matches the Rfam family "tRNA". Rfam says of the family: Transfer RNA (tRNA) molecules are approximately 80 nucleotides in length. Their secondary structure includes four short double-helical elements and three loops (D, anti-codon, and T loops). Lineage: Eukaryota; Cryptophyceae; Cryptomonadales; Hemiselmidaceae. The record is from RNAcentral.